CAAGGUUUGGUCGAGAGCGCCAAGGUUUGAAAAGUGUCUCUCAAUAUAAAAACAAGACAAAGGAAACAUUAAACAGAUUUCGGUGUCGAAAGCUAAGCAGUACUUCAAAGAUUGUCAUCUCCGGCCAUCUGCGUUUACUAAAAAGAAGUAGUUUUCCUGGCUGUGUUGAUAAUUCACUAUGUGGACUGCUCUCCAUGUAAGCCCCCUCUGGACCAAGUGUGCUCUUGCAAGGAUGGACAUCUAAACACCAGUGAGACAUGUACUGUGUGUGCAUGCUCUCAGAAUGGGGACUAUGGGAAAUGCAGGACAUCCCAGUGGUUGAGCAUUCCCACUUCCUGGAUAAUAGAGCAGAGCAGUGGUUCUUCUACAGUGGACUUUGCUUGGAGUGCAUUUGAUGGCGACCUGUCCACAGUUUGGGAGCCCAUGGGCCAGCCGGAGGGUUAUGAACACUGGGUCAUACUUGAUCUACAGACCAGCUUCAUUAUUCACAGAGUGACAGUUACUAAUAAUGGGGAUGGUGUCCAUGACAUUGUCAGCUUUAUCAUGGAAAGUGCUGAUGCUAGUCCAUAUGUAUGGGACACUGCUUACACCACAGACACAGUCCUAGCUGGGAUUUCCAUGCCUCAACACUUCAAACUUCACUUUGUGGGUCGAUACAUGAGGCUCAAAGUCAACACUCAGAGUAGAGUAAGG
Molecule: long non-coding RNA, 693 nt
Organism: Branchiostoma floridae (Florida lancelet)
Lineage: Eukaryota; Metazoa; Chordata; Leptocardii; Amphioxiformes; Branchiostomatidae
Exons: 4
Source: RefSeq, a predicted model, not a curated record